Molecule: ribosomal RNA, 429 nt
Filed under: Gemmatimonadota bacterium
Lineage: Bacteria; Pseudomonadati; Gemmatimonadota
Description: Gemmatimonadetes bacterium partial 16S ribosomal RNA
Rfam family: Bacterial small subunit ribosomal RNA
Source: RNAcentral
UAGGGAAUCUUCGGCAAUGGACGAAAGUCUGACCGAGCAACGCCGCGUGAGUGAAGAAGGUUUUCGGAUCGUAAAACUCUGUUGUUAGAGAAGAACAAGGACGUUAGUAACUGAACGUCCCCUGACGGUAUCUAACCAGAAAGCCACGGCUAACUACGUGCCAGCAGCCGCGGUAAUACGUAGGUGGCAAGCGUUGUCCGGAUUUAUUGGGCGUAAAGCGAGCGCAGGCGGUUUCUUAAGUCUGAUGUGAAAGCCCCCGGCUCAACCGGGGAGGGUCAUUGGAAACUGGGAGACUUGAGUGCAGAAGAGGAGAGUGGAAUUCCAUGUGUAGCGGUGAAAUGCGUAGAUAUAUGGAGGAAAACCAGUGGCGAAGGCGGCUCACUGGUCUGUAACUGACGCUGAGGCUCGAAAGCGUGGGGAGCAAACAGG